UACGGAGGGAGCUAGCGUUAUUCGGAAUUACUGGGCGUAAAGCGCACGUAGGCGGCUUUGUAAGUUAGAGGUGAAAGCCUGGAGCUCAACUCCAGAAUUGCCUUUAAGACUGCAUCGCUUGAAUCCAGGAGAGGUGAGUGGAAUUCCGAGUGUAGAGGUGAAAUUCGUAGAUAUUCGGAAGAACACCAGUGGCGAAGGCGGCUCACUGGACUGAUAUUGACGCUGAGGUGCGAAAGCUAGGGUAGCAAACGGG
RNAcentral lists this ribosomal RNA (253 nucleotides) under uncultured bacterium. RNAcentral's name for it is "partial 16S ribosomal RNA". It matches the Rfam family "Bacterial small subunit ribosomal RNA", at positions 524 to 776 of the family's 1533-position model. The record is from RNAcentral.